GAUGAAACGCUAGCUACAGGCUUAACACAUGCAAGUCGAGGGGAGACGAUAGAGAAAGCUUGCUUUUUCUAGGCGUCGACCGGCGCACGGGUGAGUAACGCGUAUCCAACCUGCCCACCACUUGGGGAUAACCUUGCGAAAGUAAGACUAAUACCCAAUGACGUCUCUAGAAGACAUCUGAAAGGGAUUAAAGAUUUAUCGGUGAUGGAUGGGGAUGCGUCUGAUUAGCUUGUUGGCGGGGUAACGGCCCACCAAGGCGACGAUCAGUAGGGGUUCUGAGAGGAAGGUCCCCCACAUUGGAACUGAGACACGGGUCCAAACUCCUACGGGAGGCAGCAGUGAGGAAUAUUGGUCAAUGGACGAGAGUCUGAACCAGCCAAAGUAGCGUGCAGGAUGACGGCCCUAAUGGGUUGGUAAACUGCUUUUAUAAGGGAAUAAAGUGAGCCUCGUGAGGCUUUUGC
Molecule: ribosomal RNA, 461 nt
Filed under: uncultured bacterium
Lineage: Bacteria
Description: bacterial SSU rRNA
Rfam family: Bacterial small subunit ribosomal RNA
Source: RNAcentral